AACGAACGCUGGCGGCAUGCCUAACACAUGCAAGUCGAACGAGACCUUCGGGUCUAUUGGCGCACUGCUGCCUAGUGGGUGGCGACCUGCCAUUAGGUUCGGAAUAACUCCCCGGAAGGGGUUCUAAAACCGGAUAGUGACUUCGUACCAAAGAUUUAUCCCCUUUGGAUGGGGCCGCGUUGGAUUAGCUUGUUGGUAGGGUAAGAGCAUACCAAGGCGACUAUACAUAGCUGGUAUGAGAGGAUGAUCCGCCACACUGGGACUGAGACACGGCCCAGACUCCUGCGGGAGGGGGCAGAGGGGAAUAUAGGAAAACCGGGGGUAUCAAGAGCCAGCAAGGCCGGGUGAGUGAUGACGGCCGGAGGGUUGUAAAGCUCUUUUAUACGUGAGGAUAAUGACGGUACCGGGAGAAGAAGCACCGGCUAACUCCGUG
RNAcentral lists this ribosomal RNA (433 nucleotides) under uncultured bacterium. Its description in RNAcentral is "partial 16S ribosomal RNA". It matches the Rfam family "Bacterial small subunit ribosomal RNA", at positions 29 to 507 of the family's 1533-position model. The record is from RNAcentral.